ACUAAAUGAAAAUGUCAGACAGAUGCUUUCUGUAUGUUCAACUCAGGCAGGGCAUUUUUUGAAUCAAACAAUCUAAAAAACACUGUUCAUGUGCUGAGAUUUAGGGGAGGUAAUAAAAAAACAUGUCACGGGGACACAGUCACACUCUCAAGGAGUUUAACAGACAAAUCUAGAAUAGUAAUAAACAUCUCUUGAAUAAGAAAAAAAAUUACACUGAAAGAUAAAUAAAUAAACAUGAAUAGGAACAGCUGGAAAAGCAGUAGACAAAAAGGCAAGGCAUUGAGACAACUUGUCCUAAGAGCGGAGGACAACACUGCGGAAGUCAACAGGCCAAGGAAACACACGUGUGUGGAAAGUUACACAAAAGCUGUAGAUAAACUGUGGCACAAGUCCAACGCCUUCAGAGACGCGUGACAAAUGUAUGAAUAUAUAUAAGUAACAAAAGCAGGAAGAUGAAUUUCACAAGAAGCAGGAUCCACAAGCAAACCAUGAUGAUGAUAAACCACGACGAUGAUGUCGAUGAAGGACGACCAACCAGAACAAAAUCACGCAAAAGAAGGGCAAGUUGCUAGCAGCGUCAAACACGCAAGUCACACGAAAAACUGGACUCGGACAACGCGGAUAAAAACAUGAAGGCGCAUCAUCAUCAACUCAAGGCUGGGAUUAAGCAUGAGAGUCUUCGGUGUUUUCAGAAUUCAUCUUUCCUCUUGGAUUGUACUGUCAGUGCUUCAGACGGGAGUUUCAAGGUAGGAUUCAUUUUAAAACCCGCAUUUUGAAUAUUAACUUUGUCAAAUCAGGCAUAUCGUUUUAAAUCAUGUGCGUUCUUUAUUUUAGAUUUAAAAAAGUGUGUUGUAAUACAUCUGAUAAAGAAGGAAUACAUCAGUGUUUUGCUGUUGUGUUAAGAUAAAUACAAAAAUAUGAUUACAAUGAAUACCAUGGGUGAAGUUCCAUAGCACAAUGAGCUGAAAUGUAACACUGUGACCAUGCUAUUUAAAAAUAAAUUUCUCAAAAAUAAAAAAAAAACCGAGACUGAGGCCUGCAAAAUAGUAUUCUAGUAAAAUAAGUAAGCCAAAGUAUAUUUUCAUAGAUAAAAUCAUUUCAGAAUUUUUAAAAAAUACAGAUCAUUGUCUUGUAGUCAUUAGUCCUUGCAGGUACUAAGGUAUUUUGAUUAGAAAGAUGCAGUUAUUCUUUAUAGAUCUAGGUAUGACAACAAAACUGGCACUUUAAUAACCAUUUCAAUCUGAAUUGGUUCAGAGAGAUUGGUUCAAAAUUUGAAUGUAUGGCUUUAUUACCAUAAAUGUAAUAAUGUCAUUAUUUGAAUAGCUCCACCUUAUAACAAUGAUAAUUUGUUUUAUUAGACUGAAUAAAAAUGAAAUGAAAUUAACCAAAAAAAACAGUUAAGGUGCCUUUGGAAAGAGGAAAAUGUGAGAUGACCUUUACACUGAAAAUAAUUAGGACAAUGCAGGUGUUCAAGCGGUGUUACAGCAAUGUUAAAGCCAUAACCCUCAGUAUCACAAGUUACAACCAACAAGAUGUUCUGAAAACAUUCUAAAGAAGCAAGGCCUAAUGGAACAUUCAGAAACUAACAGGAUAAGCUACCAGUGCAUCGCCUAAAAAAAGACACAAUUCAAACUUGUUCGAACACAAUUUAUUUUAUGCUUAAAUAAUCAAUUAGAUCAUCCAGUGUUUGAUGUUUUUUCAUACAUAUGUUAUUUGAUCUACUGUUAAUGAAUGCCUUAGGUGUUCUUGUAUGAAUAGAUUCAAUGUAAGGAAAUAUUUCACCAAAACCCAAAUAAAAAUGCCCUUUUAAACCACAGCAGCCUUUAAACCUAUGGAUACACUGCUAUAUUGAUUACAGUCGUUUGGCUUACAAAGACUUCUAUAUUUUAUAGCCAAUACACAUAAUAGUUAUAAUUUUACAGCGUGCCAAUCUACUACAUUCGGUUAACUUUUCCUGUUCAAGCAGACAGUUGGUAAAGGCCACCCUUCAGCGGC
Molecule: long non-coding RNA, 1995 nt
Organism: Scleropages formosus (Asian bonytongue)
Lineage: Eukaryota; Metazoa; Chordata; Actinopteri; Osteoglossiformes; Osteoglossidae
Exons: 2
Source: RefSeq, a predicted model, not a curated record